GAUGAACGCUAGCUACAGGCUUAACACAUGCAAGUCGAGGGGAAACGACAUCGAAAGCUUGCUUUUGAUGGGCGUCGACCGGCGCACGGGUGAGUAACGCGUAUCCAACCUGCCCACCACUUGGGGAUAACCUUGCGAAAGUAAGACUAAUACCCGAUGAUAUCUCUAGACGACAUCUGAAAGGGAUUAAAGAUUUAUCGGUGAUGGAUGGGGAUGCGUCUGAUUAGCUUGUUGGCGGGUAACGGCCCACCAAGGCGACGAUCAGUAGGGGUUCUGAGAGGAAGGUCCCCCCANAUUGGAACUGAGACACGGUCCAAACUCCUACGGGAGGCAGCAGUGAGGAAUAUUGGUCAAUGGGCGAGAGCCUGACGGAGCAACGCCGCGUGAACGAUGACGGCCU
RNAcentral lists this ribosomal RNA (400 nucleotides) under uncultured bacterium. RNAcentral describes it as "bacterial SSU rRNA". It matches the Rfam family "Bacterial small subunit ribosomal RNA", at positions 28 to 417 of the family's 1533-position model. The record is from RNAcentral.